CCUCAAGAGCGUUGAGGUGAUGGGAUCUGUUCGAUACAGAGAAGAUAAGCAUGAUCCCUGGGCAAGGAUGACGCAUGAAGUCGUGAAGCAUUCUAUGUUUAU
Molecule: small nuclear RNA, 102 nt
Organism: Cervus hanglu yarkandensis (Yarkand deer)
Lineage: Eukaryota; Metazoa; Chordata; Mammalia; Artiodactyla; Cervidae
Source: Ensembl